Molecule: non-coding RNA, 4769 nt
Organism: Callithrix jacchus (white-tufted-ear marmoset)
Lineage: Eukaryota; Metazoa; Chordata; Mammalia; Primates; Cebidae
Source: RefSeq, a predicted model, not a curated record
UCUCAAACUCCUAACCUCAGGUGAUCUGCCUGCCUCAGCCUCCCACAGUGCUGGGAUUAUAGGCGUGAGCUACCUCACCCGGCUCCCUGAAGUAUUUAAAACUCAGAGGUGGCUGGUCAAGGUGCCUCAAUCCUAUAAUCCCUACACUUUGUGAGGCCUAGGCCGGUGGAUCACUUGAGGUCGGGAGUUCAAGACCAACCUGGCCAACAUAAUGAAACCUCGUCUCUACUAAAAAUACAAAAAUUUAGCUGGGCAUGGUGGCCAAGUGCUUGUAAUCCCAGCUACUUGGGAGGCCUGAGGCAGAUGAAUCACUUGAACCCUGGAGGCAGAGGUUGCGGUGAGCUGAGAUUGUGCCAUUGCACACCUAAGCAACAAGAGUGAAACUCCGUCUCAAAAAAAAAAAACUCAGAUGUCUACCCUUGACUGGGCUUAAUAUUAGAGCCAACAAAAGAAAAAAUAUUUGUAGUCAGUAGCAUCAUUUUCUGUUUUAAAGUACAUUAAGUAUAAGUGAGUUAUAAUUACGAAUCUGGUCAAUGUUUUUAUCAGGCAUAGGAAAAAAUAAUUUUGAAUUUACAAAGAAUCUUAGGACAUUUGUGAUAAUUUAUGUAUAAAAUUAUUCUUCACCUGGGUGUGGUGGCUAAUCCUAGUACUUUGGGAGGCUAAGGUGGACAGAUCACCUGAGGUCAGGGGUUCAAGACCAGCCUGGGCACAAUGGCAGGUGCCUGUAAUCCCAGCUACUUGGGAGACUGAGAUGGGGGAAUCGCUCGAACCCUGGAGAUGGUGGUUGCAGUGAGCGAAGACUACCCCACUGCACUCCAGCCUGGGCAGCUUAGCAAGACUCCAUCUCAAAAAAAAAAAAAAAAAAAUAUAUAUAUAUAUAUAUAUUCUUCAUGUCAGAUUCCUCUUAUAUAUACUAUGUUUUAUGUUUUGGUCAUUUUAGCCCCAUAUAAAAAUAAUACCAAGUCAUAUUUCUUAAAGAAUCUUUAUAAUCUGCAUAAUGGGAUGGCAAAAUAGAAAAAAAGAUGUUUAUAAUAUAGGAGAAAGCCAAAUUAUGUUUGAGAGUUGCAGAUAAGGCAGAUUUUUAACAUUUUAAGACAAAUCAAACAUCAGUGUGGAUUUGGCCAAGAUUAAAUAUUUGCAUAACAUACACCUUCUAUUUAAUCAUGGGUUUAUGAGGAAUAUUUUUAAUUACAAAAGAAAUUGUUUCAUUUCAGCCUCUAUCAUAGACUCUUGAGUUCACUCAGUAUAACAUGAGAAAACUUUGCACGUUAAAAGUUUUGCUUUGAUUUCGUUUUCUUAUUUCUAAGCUUUUUAUUUUAUGCAUCUAGGUACCAGUAUUUUUAGGUGUUAGAUUUGUGGACACAAAAAUACACAUUUACAGAGUUGGCAGUUUGCUUUUUUGUUCUAAGGGGCAGAGCAUGAAGGCACAGCUGUUUGAAUCUGGUGGAGCAUAAUAUUCUUGAAUGAUCUGUUCUGGUGAAUUAUGAGUGUGUGUUUGGGUGGGGUUUUUUUUUUUUUUGUUUUUGGGGUUUUUUUGUUUUUUUUUUUGAGAUGGAGUUUCACUCUUGUUACCCAGGCUGGAGUGCAAUGGCGCGAUCUUGGCUCACUGCAACCUCUGCCUCCUGGGUUCAGGCAGUUCUCCUGCCUCAGCCUCCCGAGUAGCUGGGACUACAGGCACGCACCACCAUGCCCGGCUAAUUUUUUGUAUUUUUAGUAGAGACGGGGGUUUCACCAUGUUGACCAGGAUGGUCUCGGCCUCCCAAAGUGCUGGGAUUACAGACAUGAGCCACCACGCCCGGCCCGGUUUUUGGGUGUUUUUUUUUUUUUUUGAGAUGGAGUUGAGCUCUGUCACCCAGGCUGGAGUUCAGUGGUGGUAUGAUACCGGCUCACUGCAACCUUCCACCUUCCAGGUUCAAGCGAUUUUCCUGCCUCAGUCUCCUGAGUAGCUGGGAUUACAGGUGAGUGCCACCAUGCCUGGCCAAUUUUUGGAUUUAUAGCUGGGAUUACAGGUCCACACCAUCACAGCCGGCUAAUUUUUUUUUUUUUUUUUUUUUUGUAUUUUUAUUAGAGACGAGGUUUCUUCAUGUUGGUCAGGCUGGCCUUAAACUCCUGACCUAAGGUGAUCUGCCUGCCUCGGCCUCCCAAAUAUUUUUAGAAUUUUAUUUAUAAUUCAAGACCAGGCUCAUCUUGAACUCCUGGCUUCAAGGGAUCCACCCACUUGGGCCUCCCAAAGCGUUGGGAUUGUAGGUGUGAGCUACUGCUCCUGGCCACAUUAUGAAUUCUCAGUAGGAAAUAUUUGAAGACUUGGAAAAGAACAAUAAAAAGUAGGCUGCCAAUAAGAAAUGUUAAUUAAAUCACAAAUUGACCAUGACUGUUACAAUAAAAUGUUAAGUGUGCAGACUUGUGAAUCAUAGAGUUAAUACAUUCAAAUUCCAGAUCUGCCAUUUAUUCAUAUGACCCUGAACAGUGUCUUAAUCUAAGAUCUUCCAUUUUCACCUGUAAUGGAGAAAUAAUCUAAUAGCAAUACCUACUUAGUCAGAUUGAGGAUUACAUGCAGUUGCAUAUGUGAAGUGUCUAGUGCUCAGUAAUUAAUACCUAUUACAACAAAUGAUUUCUGAAUUUUUGUCUUUAAUGUCAGGUCAAUACAGUGCAAAGUUACUAAAAUAUAAUUUUGGGAAGCCAAUAACAUGGAUAUAUGAAAGUAAUGUGUAUAUUAUAGCAUGCAGAUAUCCUGAGUUAGUGAAGCGCAUGCUUGAACCUCAGUUUUCUAAAUUGUCAGGUGGGGAUAUUAGUAUCUUAUUCCAUAGAGUAUUUUAGGAUUCUGUAAGUUAAUAUACCUGGAACACAACUUAGUAUAUAAUAAGUGCUCAAUAGAAUCUGUUACAAUACUGUUACAGUCCAGCAUCUUUGAUACUAGAGGUAGAGAUUAAAGGAGUUAGAGUAGCUCAUGGGUGGUAUCAAAGAACUCUUGGGGUGUAUGGGUAUGUGUGUGGUGUUUGUUUGUUGAGAUGGAGUCUCUGUCACCCAGGCUGGAGUGCAGUAGCAUGAUCUCAGCUCACUGCAACCUCUGCUUCCCGGGUUCAAGCAAUUCUUCUGCCUCAGCCUCCUGAGUACUUGGGACUACAGGCUCAUGCCACUAUGUCCAGCUAAUUUUUGUUUUUUUUUUUUUUUGGUAGAGAGGGGAUUUUACCAUAUUGGCAAGGCUGGUCUCGAACUCCUGACCUCAUGAUCUGCUCACCUCAGCCUCCCAGAGUGCUGGGAUUACAGGUGUUUUUAUCCUUAUUAAAUUAGAGAUUUAUAAAAUGACAUUACUUUUCUGGAAUUUUUUCCUGACAGAUUAAAAAUCACAUAUUUGGCCAGGCACAGAGGCUCACACCUGUAAUCCCAGCACUUUGGGCUGGCAGGUGGAUCACCUGAGGUCAGGAAUUCGAGACCAGCCUGGCCAACAUGAUGAAACCCUGUCUCUACUAAAAAUACAAAACUUUACCAGGCAUGGUGGUGUGCACCUGUAAUCCCAGCUACUUGGGAGGCUGAGGCAGGAGAAAUGCUUGAACGCGGGAGGCAGAAGGUUACGAUGAGUCAAGAUGGCACCACUGCACUCCAUCCAGCCUGCGUGACAAAGCAAGACUCUGCCUUUAUAAAAAAAUUUUUUAAAAAAGACAUAAGAUAUUUUUUGAGAUGGAGUCUCGCUCUAUCGCCUUGGCUCACUGCAACUUCUACCUCCUGGGUUCCAGUGAUUCUCCUGUCUCAACCUCCUAAGUAGCUGGGAUUAUAGGUAUGCAUCACCACACCUAGGUAAUUUUUGUAUUUUUAAUAGAGACAGGGUUUCACCAUGUUGGCCAACCUGGUCUCAAACUCCUGACCACAAGUGAUCCGCCUGCCUUGGCCUCCCAAAGUGCUGAGAUUAUAGGCAUGAGCCACCUCGCCCAUCUCCGAGAGAUUUCUUGGAAAUCUCUCGGGCACGUAUGAAAAGUUGGAAUUUCCUGGAUGUUUUGUUGAUAGUAAAUUUGAACAUUCUGUGGUAGCGUGGAUUAUAUACAAAUAAUUUGAACUUGAUUGAUUGUUUUUUCAUAUUUUACUUUUAUUUUAAGCAUUAUUUAGUUUCUCUAUACUACCGGACUGUACUUUUUGGAAAGUUCGAAUAAGUCAGUAACAAAGGAUUGAGUUUGUUUGAUUAAAUCUUUUCUUGAAAGAAGUAAGUCUUAGAACUUUUAGAUUAUAGGCAACUAUUUGGAUAUUAUGGUGUGGGUUGCUUCCAGAUUUGAGCCUGGCAGUUCUAGGUUAGUGCAAUGUUAGGUGAAUUAAAAGCCUGCUGAAAGUACCCUCACUGUAACUCUCCAUAGCCAUCUUUUUAUUAAAGAUUUUUCUUGAGUUAACAUAAUUAUUCUUAUGAGCAACUAUCUUUUUGGUGAGGGUUUUUUGGCUUCUGAUUAUAGAAUGAUUAGCAAUUAACAGCUUUUAAAAAAAGAAUUUCUCAUAGCUUGCUUUAUUUGAAGUAUUUCAGGCCGGGUGCGGUGGCUCACGCCUGUAAUCCUAGUCAUUUGAGAGGCUGAGGCAGGCAUAUAAUUUGAGGUCCAGAGUUAGAGACCAUCCUGGCCAACAUGCUGAAACCCCAUCACUACUAAAAAUACAAAAAUUAGCUGGGCGUGUGGUGCACACUUGUAAUCCCAGCUACUCUGGAGGCUGAGGCAGGGGAAUUGCCUGAACCCGGGAUGGAGAGGUUUCAGUGAGCCAAGAUUUGUGCCACGGCACUCCAGCCUGGACAAGAA